CUCCACAGACAGCCUGAGAGCGGCAGGGGGGAGAGCUCUGUGGGACCCAGCAGCCCCAGCCACGGGACGACAGACGCGCCCGUGCCGGUGCCGCUGUUUUCCAAGGAGGGCGGAGAGCAGCGUUGGGUGGAGGGCACGCGUCUGGAGCCGGGUUUCGUCAGGUGCCCUGCUGGAAAGGGCGGGCUGACUGCAGGCCAGGGGCACAGUGGCUGGAGAGUGGCCCGCCCGGGCGUGUGUGGGUGAUCUCGGCGAGUGAGCGGCAGCCAGGCCCCCGCCUGCAGGGCACUUCUGCCCCUGACGCUCCAGUUCACGCAGCAGUUCUCGCUGGGAUCACAGACGAAGAAGCAGGGGCAGCCCGGCGGCAGCGCUGGCCUUUCUGAUGGCAGCUGCAGCAGCCUGGAGUCCAGGAGUCACAUGACUUUAAGUAAUGCCCUCAAUCACAGGAGAGGGAGGUUGUGCAGCUCACCCGCUGGGAGUUGUGUGAUCACUGAAGAAUCCCCAGGCGGAUGGAUGAGAGCAGCCUGGGAGAAGGCGCCCCCUUCCUUACCUGGGCCUGUGGGGACCGAGAGCUGCCCCCUGGGACAGCGCCGAGCGGGCCCAGUGUUAACUGCCUUGCGGUCCUCCACGUGGCUAAUUUGGAGGCCCCGGCUGAACUUUUUCUGUUGUUGCUAUCCGUUUCCCACCACAGAUGUGUUACCUUAAAGUGCUGUGGGCCAGAAGUCUGAGGCUGAAGGCAGAAUGAGGACUUUGAAGUUGCUCUGAUGACAAAGAGCAAUGCCACAGGCAGAUCUAUGAACCGCAACCGUCUCUAAUGCUGGUGAUGGUGGGGCCUCUCAGCUCAAGAGGACGAACAGAGAAGAGAGGAUGUGCUGUGAACACACUGCAGCACAGUGAGAAAACAAGAAGGCUGCAGUUAAACUUGAGGGUUAGUCUUGCCAUACUGGGAUGGGGUGCACCUUCACGGAUUUUCCUACAAAAUAAGGAACGCGCUUUUAGGUGUGGCUUGCACUCCUCCAAGAACAAUGGAGUGGGGCUAUUUAUAAAUCACAUUUGCUUGACCAUUUAAAUCACUUUUGGAGUGGUUUUUUUUUCCGAUGACUCUUCAUGUAAAAUUGGCUUUUACUGAACACCCAAAUCAGACACUGGCUCAGCAUAUGUCUUGCUCCACGAUGAUGAUGAUACGACUCUGAGCCCUGCUGCUUCCCAGCUACUUCCGCCUGUUUUGUUCUUCAGCUUCCGCAGGCCACAGUUGGUUUCUGAUCUCAUCCUGGGCCAGCUAUGGUGCCAGGUCGGGGAGGAAAGAGAACCAAGAUAGAAACAGGAAGGAGAGGAGGAAAAAGAAAAUAAAAGGAAGAAAAGAUUUGGAGCAGGAGAACUUCAAAUUCAUGUUCCUCCUACUGCAGCACCCUAACUAAUGGAAUUCAAUAAAAAACACUUGUUAAUUGCCCUUAUAAAUUUCUGCUGUGCCUGCUUUACAAGGUACUGUGAUCGUUACUGAGGCAAAAUCAAACUUUUAUGAUAGUCAGCUCAGAAAGCACCCAACACUGAAUAAAUGAAUAAUAGUGAAUUCUAGUUCUCCUAUUUUUUUCUGAAGCUUUCCAUUCAGUGUCAAAAGACAUCAGUAUCAAAUUAAUUCUAGUUGUAUGAGAAUAACCAAAAGAUUAUAAAGGUCUUGGAGUUGCUUGUACAUCAAAUAAAGAAUAGCUUUCACCAUAGUUAAGCCCAUUGUAUUUCUAGUAACAUUAGAAUUCACUGAAUGCAAACCCUGUGGCAUUAUAUAGUAAACCUCUUAAGAUAAUAUUACUGUUGAGGAAUUCCCACUGACUUUUCAGUGACAAAUACAGCUUCACAGAAG
This is a long non-coding RNA of Heterocephalus glaber (naked mole-rat), 1855 nucleotides long. Lineage: Eukaryota; Metazoa; Chordata; Mammalia; Rodentia; Bathyergidae. The record is from Ensembl.